This is a non-coding RNA of Xyrichtys novacula (pearly razorfish), 5471 nucleotides long. NCBI's taxonomy places the organism in Eukaryota, Metazoa, Chordata, Actinopteri, Labriformes, Labridae. The record is from the annotation of a GenBank genome assembly.
CUCUGCUGCCCUGUGACUGACUUUCCUAGUAGAUGGUCUGAGAAGUGGAACGACAUGAGGAGACUGUCUGGAGUACAUUAAACAUUGUGGGCGUCUUUGCUAACCAGGAUUUCUGUCCACUCCUCGUCCUUUGGUACCUGAUGUUACUCAGCCCACACAAACUGGGCUCUGAUAUAAAAGCUUGUGCAGCAGCAGCAGCUGCCACGGUACCUUUUCCUCACCUCUGCCUCUCCCGUCUCAUAGGACUAGUCGCCAUGAAGCUUCUGUGUCUCUGCCUUGCCCUCGCUCUGGCAUGGGCUGAUGAGUAAGUAGUUUCAGACUUUACCUUUGAUUCUGUAGAGAUUGUGACUUCUUGUGCUCCUCAUGAAUUGAAACUUAAAUCCUAAAUGGGGAGCAGUUUUUACUUUGCAAAGUGAGCAGGAGAUCUGCAUCAGCAAUAACUGUUAUUUUUUGUCUUUUUUACCAGGCUUGAGGAAAAUCCUCAUGGUGGGUAAAAAAAAAUCGUUUUUUAAACUCCUUAGUGAGACUUUUUUUUGAAAUAUUAAAACUGCAUUUAUGCCCUGCAGAUGACCUUCACCCUACAGAUCAACCCACACUUGGCUAUGAAGAUCGCCCUGACCGAUGUGAGGGCAUUGAGAUGGAUGCUGCGACUGUGAAUGAAGCUGGAGUCCCAUACUUUUUCAAGAGUAAGCUGAGGAAUGGUUGAGACUCUUCAUAUGGUCUAAACUGUGGAAACAGUUCUAUCUCAACAUUGUAUUCUGUAUCCUUGUUUAGGUCACUUCCUGUUCAAGGGCUUCCAUGGCGAAGCACAGCUGAACAAUGAGACCUUUACUGGACACGAUGAUCAUUUCCACCUGAGCGAUAUAGAUGCUGCUUUCCGCAUGCACAAUGAACACAACGCCAGCGAACACGACCACACGUUCAUCUUCUCGGUAUGUUCAAAGUCUCCAAGAGUUUAAAAGUGGCCCGCUAACACAAGAUCAUUUUGAAAAUGAUUGAGUCCAUUAUUUUACACGAACAUCAUUGCAUAUCUGUCAUGAAAAAGAGUUUGAGGUACCUGAGUAGAUCUGAGUAGAUAUAAAAUAUAUAUAUAUUUCAAUCUCUUAGUGGCUUUGGCCCAUCUUACAUAUCUAAUCUGCUUUUACCUUAUGAGCCAGGUCAAGCCCUCAGGUCUUCAGGCAGUUCUCUGUUAACAAUACCUUAAGUUUAAACCAAGACAUACUGUGAGGCAUCUUUUUAUUGGCCCAGCAUACCUAAUAAUAAUGCAUCAGAUUUCAUAUAGCAUACCUGGAAACCUGAGGACUGCAACUAAUUUUAAUGGUUUUAAAAGCUAACUGAAAUAUACCUUUUUAGUCCUGCUUUUAACUAAAUUUCAUAUCUAAAUCUUAUAUCAUUAACUUUGUUUAAGUAUUUUAGCAUUAGUUUCUUCUAGUUUUAAUGACAGGUUCAUCUUUUAUUGAGCUAUUUUGGUGCUCUUAUUUUAGUAUCUUUUACUGUUGUUUUUAUUUUAUUUUAUUUAUUAUUUCUUAAAUUUCAUUUUAUGUUUCUUUGUUUUUCUAUUUUAAACCUCCAGUGUGUCCUUAAUUUUAAAACAGCGUUUCCUCAGUGUGCACACUCCUGUUUAUAUUAAACCAAGCCCUCUUUAAGUUCAUGCAUUUUAAUACAUGUUUCUAUUGUGCUUAGAUUGCAGAGUGAGACAGAGGGGUUGGGUUGGGAUAGAUUAGGGUUUUCUUUGUUUCUUUUAUUCCUCUGCUAUGUUGAGCACUUUGUGUAUGUAAAGUGCUAUAUAAAUAAAGACUUGAUUGAUUUGAUUUGAUUUGAUUUGAUUUGAUUGUGUAAGCCUAAUCUUGAACCCCUCUUUCUUCUUUAAUACAGGGCCAUUCGGUGUACAGAUUUCACCAACAUAAACUGGAGGAAGGUUACCCCAAGCCCAUCUCUAACGAGUUCCACGGAAUUCCUGACCACCUGGACGCUGCUGUUGAGUGUCCUAAAGCAGAUUGUGGGGAUGACCUUGUCAUCUUCUUCAAGGGUUUGUUUACAGUGAAAACUAUCACUGCACCAGAGAACACCAGAAUCCCUUUGUGAAGUUCAAGCACAUUUACAUCAAGUACAGUCUUUUUUUUUAAAGAAUGGGUUAAAAAAGUGAGAUGAUUCAACAGCCAUAGUGUAGGAUCUGAGUGAUUUUGAGUUUUAAGGAAUUUGAAACAAACUCAAAGCAUUUAGCUUCUCUCAACAAAUGAAUGUCUGAUGUAAAUAUCUUCACAUCAUCAGAAUUCAGACAUCUGUAGUUUGAAAAGUGUCUCUCCAAAUUUGUGUAGGACCGUAGCUCCUCGUGAUGCAGACAUUUACAGGGUUUGAAGGACCUUAGUGCUGUAAUCCUCACCAUAUGAAGAUAACAUAUCAAUUUAAAAUUUGAUUUCACAGCCUUGUGAUUAUUUUCUUAGUACUUCAAGUCAUUUUCAUUUGUCAAACAUCCUUUUAAUCUCAUGUGUGGUUGUUUGCUGCAGGACACUCGAUCUAUCACUACGAUGUCAGAAGCAAGUAUGUUGCUAUGAAAGAGUAUGAAUCCAUGCCAAACUGCACGUCUGCUUUCCGCUUCAUGGGGAACUACUACUGCUUCCAUGGACACAUGUUCUCCAAAUUUGACCCCAAGACUGGCGAAGUGACCGGCAACUACCCCAAAGAGGCCCAGGACUUCUUCAUGAGAUGCUCCAAGUUUAGUAAGUAAAAAAUGUGUGUAUUCAUGCAAGGUCAAAAAGCACAAAUGCUGUUGUUUUACAGCUUUAAAUAAUUAAAAUAUCAGCCAUGACAAUAAAUGUGUUCAAAGUUUCCAACAAUACUUUUUCAGCGUUAUACUGCAAAUGAAUUCUAAAACUUUUAUUGGUUUAUAUUUGGUUUGAUUAUAUCUUUUCUGUAACACAACAAGCUUACUUUCCUCCAGCUGCACACUGAGAUGCCAUUUAAAAUCCAGUUAGUUAUCAGUGAAUCAUGAGUUCGAGAAGGAUAUCAAAAGUGUGUAAGAUUUGAAGAUAGAUACUAGUUAAGGUGAAGUCAGUGUGAAAGCUGCAAAGAGACCAUCAAAGAUUUUAAGUCCAUGUUUUACAUUAGCAUUAUGCUCUUCUAUUGUCUAGGUAAUGAGAGCAACCAUCUGGAAAGAGAACGAUGUAGCCGUGUUCCCCUGGAUGCCAUCUCAUCUGACGGCGUUGGUCACAUUUUUGCCUUUAGAGGUGAGAAUGAACUGCAGGCUACAUUGCAUUAAUAUAAUGUAUGGACUCAGGGGCUUUAUGUAAAAAGACAGUCGUUUUUCAAGCUCUGUCUGAAAGCUCUGUUUCAAGCCUUUUAGAUGAGAGGUGAACCAUCUUCAAGAACACGAUCCAAGUCCCAGUGUUUUUUUGGUUUAGACAAUGGAUGACUUGGAUGACUGACAGUCUUCACAGACAUGUUGGGGUGGCAGAUGAAAUGUUUAUCAUUUGCACUGUGUCCUUUUUCAAUUGGACAUUGUCACUGUUUGCUGCAUCUCUAAGUGACUCCUGUUUCUCUCAGGCCACUACUUCCUCCGUAAAGACGACGCCAACGACACAAUGACUGCUGAUACCAUCGGGCAUCUUUUCAGGGAGGUGCACAGUGAUGUGGACGCUGCUUUCACACAUAAUAAUCACCUUCACAUGUUCAAGGUAAACUACAGAGGCAAACACACACACUUAAUAUUGAUCUUGCCAAUUUGUCAUCAAGCUGAAAGCACUAAUAUACAAUUUCUCCUCCUUCAGGGUGAAAAUGUGUUUGUUUACAACGUGGGUGAGCCCUUUGUUCACCUGGACGGUUAUCCCAAGACUGUGAAAGAGGUCCUGGGCUUUGAUGGUCCCAUUGAUGCUGCAUUUGUCUGCGAAGAGGACCAUGCUUUCUUCAUUAAAGGUAAAGAUACAGACAGCAACUCCUAGAAUAUACAAAAAAAAAAAAAUCAGGAAACAACUGUAGAAUUGUUUGAGCAAACCAUUUAAAGCCACUACUAAGCCAUCAGAAAGGCAAUACAAAUCCUCGUAUUUUCUCAAAAUUCUGUGAGAUAGUUACUCAUAGUUAAUUUACAACAUCAGUUAAUAUUUUUCUCAUCAGUUUAUGGUCUAGAGUGCUAAUUUAAAGUUUUCUUUGUAAGGCAUGUUUCUUUGUGCCUCAUUUCCUAGUCAUUUGAAUGUAAAUUUCAAAUCUGACUAAUUGACUUGGCCAUGGGUAGGAGAACACUCAAAAGCAGUACAAAUAAAGCACACUGUGUUUGCAGGUAAAGGUACAGAAUUGGUUUGCUAAUGUGGCUACCACUGGCAGAGCUACCACCGCCAACCUUAAUUCCCCUAGGCUGUUUAAUUUAGACAUGUCUGUGCUAAUUGCUUGUUGCUCUAGGUGUUUAUUUCCUAGUUCAUCAGAUACAGCCUACAUACAACAUCAUCUUCCUUUUCUCAAUGAGAAUAGUGACAGGCCAUUAGAUUCCCUUCUCUUACCUGCACUUGUCUACACCUGAAGAGCAGAGCAUUAUGACAUCAUGGAGGAAGCUUAGACUGGGUUGGGGAUUGAUUACAGCUUUGAUAAAUUGAGCCAAAAACAAAUACAUUUGUUUCUACCAGCCAAAUCAUAACUCUGGUGGCAAGUGUCAAUGAUAAGAAUAUGUUAUGAUUCAUUCAACAUUGGAAAGGACUGUGUUGUUUACAUAGGGGGCACAUGCCUAUUUAGUAUCACUGCAUGAUUUGAAUUUUGUAAAAUGGGUCUAUUUGGAAAAAUGCUAAAAUACCUUCUGCAUCCCCAUAAGUUGGAAGGUCUUAAAAUAGACAUUUUAUGACCUGUAAAGUACCUGAUUAUAAAGUGCUGGUAAAUUACUCACGUCCCCUAAAAGAACUGGUCAAAGAAAAAUAAACAGCUAGAUGUUUUAAACUUUAAAGCAGAUAAAUAAAUACAUCUACAGUAUCUAUACCUGUUAAUGAACUCGUUAUCUCGCCUUUAUCCAGGUCCGAACGUCAUAUCUUUGAAAAUGAAUGAGGCCCCUGAUGGAGUUGCAAUCCGGCGUCCCAUGCCAUUCUUUGAGAAGGUGGACGGUGCCGUGUGUCGUGAUGGAAAACUUACAGUGAUUGUUGGCAACCACUUUUACAACUUUGAGAGCCCCGAGAUAUUUCUGUCAGCCAAAUUAAUCCCUGAGCCACACAAGGUCUCCAUGGAUAUGUUCGGCUGUGAUCACUGAGUGGCUCACCUUGAAGGACUGUUUUGAUUGUGCAGAACAUAACAUACAACAGCGAAAACCAAAGCUCUAACAACAUCAUGCAAAAGGAUGCUCACUGAGGAUGCAGUGUUUUCUCUAAGUAACUUCUCUUUUAUAUUUCUAUUCUCAUACUGACCAUAUCAUGCUUGGUGGUCCUCUUUGUAAAGAGUAUUACUUGUUUUUCUGCACCCCAUUUUUGGAGUUGGAAAUAAAGAGGAGAGGCAACACACAA